GAUGAACGCUAGCUACAGGCUUAACACAUGCAAGUCGAGGGGAAACGGUGAGAGAGCUUGCUCUCUUAGUCGUCGACCGGCGCACGGGUGAGUAACGCGUAUCCAACCUGCCUCUGACCAAGGGAUAACCCGUCGAAAGUCGGACUAAUACCUUAUGCAGUCGUCGGAAGUCAUCUGAUGACGACGAAAGAUUUCAUCGGUGAGAGAUGGGGAUGCGUCUGAUUAGCUUGUUGGCGGGGUAACGGCCCACCAAGGCGACGAUCAGUAGGGGUUCUGAGAGGCAGGUCCCCCAGAUUGGAGCUGAGACACGGACCAAACUCCUACGGGAGGGAGCAGUGUGGAAUAUUGGGCAAUGGGCGUAAGCCUGAACCAGCCGAGUAGCGUGCAGGAUGACGGCCCUAUGGGUUGUAAACUGCUUGUAUGCGGGGAUAAAGUGAGGGACGUGUCCUUCAUUGCAGGUACCGCAUGAAUAAGGACCGGCUAAUUCCGUG
This 491-nucleotide ribosomal RNA is filed under the name uncultured bacterium. RNAcentral describes it as "partial 16S ribosomal RNA". It matches the Rfam family "Bacterial small subunit ribosomal RNA", at positions 28 to 507 of the family's 1533-position model. The record is from RNAcentral.